Molecule: ribosomal RNA, 253 nt
Filed under: uncultured bacterium
Lineage: Bacteria
Description: partial 16S ribosomal RNA
Rfam family: Bacterial small subunit ribosomal RNA
Source: RNAcentral
UACGUAGGGGGCGAGCGUUGUCCGGAAUCAUUGGGCGUAAAGAGCGUGUAGGCGGCUUGGCAAGUCUGACGUGAAAGCCCGCGGCUCAACCGCGGAUUGUCGUUGGAAACUGCCUCGCUAGAGUCCGGAAGAGGAGAGCGGAAUCCUGGUGUAGCGGUGGAAUGCGCAGAUAUCAGGAAGAACACCCGUGGCGAAGGCGGCUCUCUGGGGACGGUACUGACGCUGAGACGCGAAAGCGUGGGGAGCGAACAGG